This 253-nucleotide ribosomal RNA is filed under the name uncultured bacterium. Its description in RNAcentral is "partial 16S ribosomal RNA". It matches the Rfam family "Bacterial small subunit ribosomal RNA", at positions 524 to 776 of the family's 1533-position model. The record is from RNAcentral.
UACAGAGGUCUCAAGCGUUGUUCGGAUUCAUUGGGCGUAAAGGGUGCGUAGGCGGCGCGGUAAGUCGGGUGUGAAAUCUCGGAGCUUAACUCCGAAACUGCAUUCGAUACUGCCGUGCUUGAGGACUGGAGAGGAGACUGGAAUUUACGGUGUAGCGGUGAAAUGCGUAGAUAUCGUAAGGAAGACCAGUGGCGAAGGCGGGUCUCUGGACAGUUCCUGACGCUGAGGCACGAAGGUAAGGGGAGCAAACGGG